UUUUCUUUAGAAAGGAUUAAAGAUAAAGCCUGCUCAAUGUUUAAAAUAAAUAGCCGCGGUAAUAUAACUGCGCGAAGGUAGCAUAAUUAAUUGUCUUUUAAAUGGUGACUUGUUUGAACGGCUUAAUGAGGGUUCUUCUUUCUUUAACUUUUUUCGAACUUAUUUUCUGGGGUUAAAAAACCUAGAUUUUUUAGAAAGAAGAGAAGACCCUGAUGAAUUUUACAGUUAAGCUGUUUGGAUGGGGCAUUCCAAUUUCUAUUAAAAUUGUGAUUGAUCCUACUUUGAGGAUAAAGGUUUAAAUUACCACAGGGAUAACAGGACAAAAUUUGUUAAGAGCACUUAUCAAAACAAAAAAUUGUUACCUCGAUGUUGAAUCAAAAUUUACUUUUUGGCGCAAAAGUUUUUAAAGUGGGUCUGUUCGACCUUUGAAUUUUUACG
Molecule: ribosomal RNA, 438 nt
Filed under: Enchiridium magec
Lineage: Eukaryota; Metazoa; Platyhelminthes; Polycladida; Prosthiostomidae
Description: partial large subunit ribosomal RNA
Rfam family: Archaeal large subunit ribosomal RNA
Source: RNAcentral